CGGGUUGCGGACAGUGUCUGGUGGGUAGUUUGACUGGGGCGGUCUCCUCCUAAAGAGUAACGGAGGAGCACGAAGGUUGGCUAAUCCUGGUCGGACAUCAGGAGGUUAGUGCAAUGGCAUAAGCCAGCUUGACUGCGAGCGUGACGGCGCGAGCAGGUGCGAAAGCAGGUCAUAGUGAUCCGGUGGUUCUGAAUGGAAGGGCCAUCGCUCAACGGAUAAAAGGUACUCCGGGGAUAACAGGCUGAUACCGCCCAAGAGUUCAUAUCGACGGCGGUGUUUGGCACCUCGAUGUCGGCUCAUCACAUCCUGGGGCUGAAGUAGGUCCCAAGGGUAUGGCUGUUCGCCAUUUAAAGUGGUACGCGAGCUGGGUUUAGAACGUCGUGAGACAGUUCGGUCCCUAUCUGCCGUGGGCGCUGGAGAACUGAGGGGGGCUGCUCCUAGUACGAGAGGACCGGAGUGGACGCAUCACUGGUGUUCGGGUUGUCAUGCCAAUGGCACUGCCCGGUAGCUAAAUGCGGAAGAGAUAAGUGCUGAAAGCAUCUAAGCACGAAACUUGCCCCGAGAUGAGUUCUCCCUGACUCCUUGAGAGUCCUGAAGGAACGUUGAAGACGACGACGUUGAUAGGCCGGGUGUGUAAGCGCAGCGAUGCGUUGAGCUAACCGGUACUAAUGAACCGUGAGGCUUAACCUUACAACGCCGAAGGUGUUU
RNAcentral lists this ribosomal RNA (708 nucleotides) under Shigella boydii. Its description in RNAcentral is "partial 23S ribosomal RNA". It matches the Rfam family "Bacterial large subunit ribosomal RNA", at positions 2241 to 2925 of the family's 2925-position model. Lineage: Bacteria; Pseudomonadati; Pseudomonadota; Gammaproteobacteria; Enterobacterales; Enterobacteriaceae. The record is from RNAcentral.